This 497-nucleotide ribosomal RNA is filed under the name uncultured bacterium. RNAcentral's name for it is "partial 16S ribosomal RNA". It matches the Rfam family "Bacterial small subunit ribosomal RNA", at positions 28 to 507 of the family's 1533-position model. The record is from RNAcentral.
GAUGAUCGCUGGCGGCGUGCCUAAUACAUGCAAGUCGAGCGAACAGAUGAGGAGCUUGCUCCUCUGACGUUAGCGGCGGACGGGUGAGUAACACGUGGAUAACCUACCUAUAAGACUGGGAUAACUUCGGGAAACCGGAGCUAAUACCGGAUAAUAUAUUGAACCGCAUGGUUCAAUAGUGAAAGACGGGUUUGCUGUCACUUAUAGAUGGAUCCGCGCCGCAUUAGCUAGUUGGUAAGGUAACGGCUUACCAAGGCAACGAUGCGUAGCCGACCUGAGAGGGUGAUCGGCCACACUGGAACUGAGACACGGUCCAGACUCCUACGGGAGGCAGCAGUAGGGAAUCUUCCGCAAUGGGCGAAAGCCUGACGGAGCAACGCCGCGUGAGUGAUGAAGGUCUUCGGAUCGUAAAACUCUGUUAUUAGGGAAGAACAAAUGUGUAAGUAACUAUGCACGUCUUGACGGUACCUAAUCAGAAAGCCACGGCUAACUACGUG